UUCGCUGAGCCCGGGCUGGGGACCCCUCGGCGAGAGCCCUCCCCGGUCAGAUCCCGGGAGCCGAAACCGGGGGGCGGCCGCUGCCGGAGCCACGCCCUUCCCGCUGCCAUCACCAGGCCGUGCCCCUUCCACAUCUUUGACGUUGACCCUCGUAUAGUGACCCCUGCGACUCCAGCAGGCACACCGAGAUGAUCCCAGAUGGUCUUUCCUCCCGGAACCCUCCUUAAUGCCACCUGCCAAGUCCUUUAGACCACGGGAGGAGGGCGCGGACCCUGGGGUGAGUGAGUGGGCCCUGGGUGGGGUGAGUGGACCCCGGGGUGGGGUGAGCCUUCCUCUACCAACACCCCUCGGCACCCUGUAAGCAGUUUUGUUUCUCGCUUCUCUCUUUUUAGAAACAGCUGGGUGUGUCCUGCAGUCCUGGGGGGAGCCAGGGCCUCCUGCGCCCUCGGCCAUUCUCCGCCGCGGGCCCCCAGCCCGUCUUUUUCAUUUUGAAACAGGGGUCAGCUAGUUGUGCAGGCUGGCCUCGAAUACAGUCCCCUGCGUCAGUCUUCUGAGUCCUUGGGGUUCAUUCUUCUUUUUUCCUCGGUGACAUCAGUGUCCCCACUUACACAUUCUUCCCUAACAUCCUUGUUGAGGGCUGCGUAUGUUGCAGGCACCCGUUUCUUUUUCUCUGGAUAACAAGCAUUUACUGACGGCUUCCUGCGUGCCGGGCACUAGGCUGGGUGGAGGGUACACACUGAGUGGGGCCACGCAGCUCCUCCCUCCGGAGCUUGCUGCCUUCCAAGGGCCAAACAGAAGGCCCUCAGGGAAAGCACAGGCUCUAGGGCAGGGGUCCGCACAGCCAAAGAAGGCCACAGCUGAACUGUGCAGAGCGGGGAGGCUGGCACUGACCGGGAAGGACGGGGCUCCCUGGAAGCCUCAAGUUCCGUGGCUCCUGGCAGAAGGUCGAGGCAAGAGUUCUCCUCUUGAUCCGUUAAGACAGCAUUGGAAAGUCUGGAAGCUCUUGAGGCCGCUCUGAUAGGGACACAGAGAGCCACAGAGAGCCCCAGGGAGCCGGCGCACGAGGUGGGGAAGCUCAAGACUGGCUGUGUGCUUGUCUGUCUGUCUGUUUGAGGGUCCUGCUUUGUUGCCCAGGCCGGCUUUGAACUCGGGUCCCCCUACGCAGCUUGGCACUACAGGUCCCGCCACCACCCUGGGCUGGAAACCACUCGUUUUGUACAGGGCCGAGGAGAUCCCGGAGAGGGAGAAGGAAUUUUAACUUGGUCAAGGAGACAGACGGGGCAAGUGACUUGUCCAAGGUCACACAGCUUAUAAAUGGCAGAACCAGGAUCCAACGACCGAUGUCCCGGCUCUGAGUCUGUGAUUCAAAAGUAGACUAAGUUCAAGGUAACCGAAAAGAUAACGCGGAGUCUGAGCAGCCAUGAGAAGACCAGCCCCGGACCGAUGGGCGGAGGUGGCGCAGUGGUGAGCGCUGCCCAGCGGGACCUGCCUUCGCUCGCUGUGGCGGGCAGACACGUGGGAGCAGACACCUAUGGAAACUGCUAGAAUCAAGUGGAGAUGCUGCUAGGGAUGCGGCUUCCUGGCCUCGGUGACGUCCUGGACGUUGCAGAAACCAGCUGUGGUUUCAGAGACACAACCUGCGACAGGGGUCUCAGCCAGGGAUCAGUGGACUCGGUGGCUCCGGGCCUGAGGUGAGACGGCACCCACAGUCUCCAGAAGCCACACAGAGGAGAGCUGUCAGCUCAGGGCAGUGGGGAAGCCCAGAGAAGCUGGGGACCAGACCCGGUCCCAGAGGGCACACCUGCCCCGCCCUUCCUCCAGCAGCGUCGCCCGCCCGGGCUCCCACGGCCUCCAGGAGCCCACUCAGCCAUGCGUGGCCAACCCGCUGCUGAGGUGGAGCCCUCGGGAUGCAACUCCUCGGUGCCAGCCUGCUCCCCACCCCUGCAGCACCGGAGCUCCUGCCAGGAGCCAGUGCGCGCACCCACCUUCCCGCAGCGCCACGGGCACCCGCGGUGGCAUGGCAGGCCGGGUUUCCUCACGUGUCGUCGGGCACUGCGGCAAGGCUGCCUCGGGAGGGCGCACCUGGCCCCCGGCCACGCUGAGGUCGGUCCUUUCUCUGCUCAUCCCAGCCCCCUCCCCGAUGGUCACAGCUCCGCUGUCCCCCCUGUCCUUCUUCCGCGUGUUGCUGGGGUGGAACCCAGUGCCCUGCCCAUGCUGGGCACACCCCUAGCCCCAGGCCAGGUGGCUCAUGGGAGGGUCCCCGGGGACCAACGGGGGACGUCUGCUGACAUUGCGGCUGUCAGAACUGGACGCGGGUAGGAUGUGCCAUGAGCACCCAUCUAGUGGGCAGAGGCCCGGGUAGUGAUCAAGAGCCUGGAGUGUGCAGGGGGUCCCCACCACAGUGAAGGACCUGCUCUCAGAUGUCCACUGUGCCGAGGCUGAGAAACCCCAACCUGGAUGUCACAUAAGGCAGAGGGACUCAGGAAGACCAAUGGCCCGCUCCUCCUGGUGUCCCACCCCGGCUCCCCUGGGGCCAUCUGAAUGGGGUGGACUCGACUGCACUGCUCAGACCCAUGCCUUGCUGGGCACCUGAUCCCCACCUGUGCAAGAUACAACUUGCUGCAGGGAAACAGUCGCCACUUGAGAGAGUGUGUCCCUGUGAUCCGUGCUCAGUCCCUCCUGUGCCUUAGUUCAUCAGUCCUCACAGCCACCUUGAGGGAGCACGAUGCUCUUCACGCCCAUUUCACUGUGAGAAAACCAGCCUCCCAGCAGGAGCGUCCACGUGGAGCCCAAAGACAAGCCCAGUUCUUUGCAGGGCAGAGCUCACGCCACUGGCACUUGACCCCAGUGAGCCUCCGCUGGGGCCGCUGUGCCCUCUGUUCCCCGACUGGAUGGGUGGCUGCUGUGGGUGUCACACUGUAGGGUGCAUGGGAUGGAUGGUGGGUGCUGCUGGCCUGGAGGGGUGGAGGCCAGGGACACUGCUCAGCACCCUGCAGUGCCCAGAACACCGCCCCAGAGAAUAACUUGGCCCCAGGGUCCCCAGGACUGAGGGGAGGGAGUCCGCCCAGGAAGCCAUUAUCUCAAGAUCUACACCCCCCCCCGCCCCCC
Molecule: long non-coding RNA, 3108 nt
Organism: Marmota monax (woodchuck)
Lineage: Eukaryota; Metazoa; Chordata; Mammalia; Rodentia; Sciuridae
Exons: 5
Source: RefSeq, a predicted model, not a curated record